Molecule: unclassified non-coding RNA, 268 nt
Filed under: Fusarium sublunatum
Lineage: Eukaryota; Fungi; Ascomycota; Sordariomycetes; Hypocreales; Nectriaceae
Description: partial contains 5.8S ribosomal RNA, internal transcribed spacer 2, and large subunit ribosomal RNA
Source: RNAcentral
CGCACAUUGCGCCCGCCAGUAUUCUGGCGGGCAUGCCUGUUCGAGCGUCAUUUCAACCCUCAAGCCCCUCCGGGUUUGGUGUUGGAGAUCGGCGGUGGGCCCCUUCCGGGGGCCCGGCCGGCUCCCAAAUAUAGUGGCGGUCUCGCUGCGGACUCCAUUGCGUAGUAGCUAACACCUCGCAACUGGAACGCGGCGCGGCCACGCCGUUAAACACCCCAAACUUCUGAAUGUUGACCUCGGAUCAGGUAGGAAUACCCGCUGAACUUAA